Non-coding RNA from Prunus mume (Japanese apricot), 1108 nucleotides. The record is from RefSeq and is a predicted model, not a curated record. NCBI's taxonomy places the organism in Eukaryota, Viridiplantae, Streptophyta, Magnoliopsida, Rosales, Rosaceae.
AACGCGCUGGACAAAAAUUUCAUGUAAGUUCUAACUUUUCACGUACAGCUCUCUCUCUCUCAAACACUCACUGUCACGACCCUUUCAGAAAACCCUCUCUCCCUCUCUCAAACACCAUCUCCAUUGCGCCAUCUUGGUUACGAGCUCGCCAUCCGAGUCAUAGAUCGAGCCAUCCAGGUCACAGAUCUCGCCGUCCAGGUCACUGAGGUCGCCAUCUUGGUUUCAAUAUCGCGCUAACUCUCUAGCUAUCUUCACUCUGGCUCUCUCGAAAGCCCUCUCUUGCCGACGCUCUCUUUCUUGUUGUCUCUUUCUCUAGCUCACAGAUCCACAAGAUGGAGAGGGAGGUUCUGGAUCUGAGAAUCAAGAGAUGUUUGGAUGUGGUGAAGAUCUCGACCUUCACUUUCUUCAAAGAAGAUCUCGCUCUCAGGCACUCAACUUGCUCAUCAAACUCAGCGACUCGAUCCAGAAAGACUUAUGGAAAUCGCCGUCCCACAAGGCCUUCGUAAUCAAGAAGAAGCUGACGAAGAAGAUGAGGCAAAACAGACCCAUCCCUCACUAGAUCCGUUUGAGGACCGACAACAUCAUCAGUCUUGGGGUUAACUUGAAUAGUAACUGUAGUUUUGAAAAAACCCCUUGCAAUUCCAUUACAAACUGGGGCUAUAGUAGAAGGGUCCUUGGGUUUGGUUCUAAAAGCUUCUGCAUUGUUCAGAAGAAGGGAAGAGCUCCUCUGGUAAGAAAUCUUGGAUCUCUGGCUGUUUGGUUUUCAUCUUCAUGCUGCCUUUUUCUUUAGUCUUAUUGCUUGGUGAAAUCAUUUAAACGUACAUCUGAUUAUUGGCCAAUCGAUAUCUUUGUCAAUCUCUAUUUAUCCUCAUUGAUGAGUAUUAAUUUAAAGGAUCUACCAGUGGAGAGUACUUAAAGGAUCGGGAUACUAAGAUAAAUUUGACUCUUCUUGCUAGUUUGGCUCAGAAGAAGGGAAGGUAUGCUUUUGAAGGUUCCACCAGAAGAGCAGAAGCUUGCAGUCAUUCAACUGUGGUGAAUCUUAUUUUUAUGUUUUUGGAUCAAUUGACAUAUCUAGACUGGGUUGUAGAGUCAUCUAGGUUUGUUUUUU